UGGGGAAUAUUGGACAAUGGGCGAAAGCCUGAUCCAGCCAUGCCGCGUGUGUGAAGAAGGCCUUUUGGUUGUAAAGCACUUUAAGCGAGGAGGAGGCUACUUAGAUUAAUACUCUAGGACAGUGGACGUUACUCGCAGAAUAAGCACCGGCUAACUCUGUGCCAGCAGCCGCGGUAAUACAGAGGGUGCGAGCGUUAAUCGGAUUUACUGGGCGUAAAGCGUGCGUAGGCGGCUUUUUAAGUCGGAUGUGAAAUCCCUGAGCUUAACUUAGGAAUUGCAUUCGAUACUGGGAAGCUAGAGUAUGGGAGAGGAUGGUAGAAUUCCAGGUGUAGCGGUGAAAUGCGUAGAGAUCUGGAGGAAUACCGAUGGCGAAGGCAGCCAUCUGGCCUAAUACUGACGCUGAGGUACGAAAGCAUGGGGAGCAAACAGG
This 430-nucleotide ribosomal RNA is filed under the name Bacillota bacterium. RNAcentral's name for it is "Firmicutes bacterium partial 16S ribosomal RNA". It matches the Rfam family "Bacterial small subunit ribosomal RNA", at positions 355 to 776 of the family's 1533-position model. Lineage: Bacteria; Bacillati; Bacillota. The record is from RNAcentral.